This 497-nucleotide ribosomal RNA is filed under the name uncultured bacterium. RNAcentral's name for it is "partial 16S ribosomal RNA". It matches the Rfam family "Bacterial small subunit ribosomal RNA", at positions 28 to 507 of the family's 1533-position model. The record is from RNAcentral.
GAUGAACGCUGGUGGCGUGCCUAAUACAUGCAAGUCGAGCGAACAGACGAGGAGCUUGCUCCUCUGACGUUAGCGGCGGACGGGUGAGUAACACGUGGAUAACCUACCUAUAAGACUGGGAUAACUUCGGGAAACCGGAGCUAAUACCGGAUAAUAUAUUGAACCUCAUGGUUCAAUAGUGAAAGACGGUUUUGCUGUCACUUAUAGAUGGACCCGCGCCGCAUUAGCUAGUUGGUAAGGUAACGGCUUACCAAGGCAACGAUGGGUAGCCGACCUGAGAGGGAGAACGGCCACACUGGAACAGAGACACGCUCCAGACUCCUACGGUAGGCAGCAGUAGGGAAUCUUCCGCAAUGGGCGAAAGCGUGACGGAGCAACACCGCGUGAGUGAUGAAGGUCUUCGGAUGUUAAAACUCUGUUAUUAGGGAAGAACAAAUGUGUAAGUAACUAUGCACGUCUUGACGGUACCUAAUCAGAAAGCCACGGCUAACUACGUG